Molecule: ribosomal RNA, 401 nt
Filed under: uncultured beta proteobacterium
Lineage: Bacteria; Pseudomonadati; Pseudomonadota; Betaproteobacteria
Description: bacterial SSU rRNA
Rfam family: Bacterial small subunit ribosomal RNA
Source: RNAcentral
CGAGCGCAACCCUUGUCUUUAGUUGCUACGCAAGAGCACUCUAAAGAGACUGCCGGUGACAAACCGGAGGAAGGUGGGGAUGACGUCAAGUCCUCAUGGCCCUUAUGGGUAGGGCUUCACACGUCAUACAAUGGUGCAUACAGAGGGUUGCCAACCCGCGAGGGGGAGCUAAUCUCAGAAAAUGCAUCGUAGUCCGGAUCGUAGUCUGCAACUCGACUACGUGAAGCUGGAAUCGCUAGUAAUCGCGGAUCAGAAUGUCGCGGUGAAUACGUUCCCGGGUCUUGUACACACCGCCCGUCACACCAUGGGAGUGGGUUUUGCCAGAAGCCGUUAGCCUAACCGCAAGGAGGGCGACUGCCACGGCAGGGUUCAUGACUGGGGUGAAGUCGUAACAAGGUACC